GAUAAAAUGAUGAUUAAUUAAAACUAGAGGUUUCUUUUCAAUUAAUUUUUCGUACAAGUUUGCAAUGUAAGCAUAAAAUAUUUGAAAAAAUGAUGACCCUUAACUCGAUCUAGUCAAGUUCAAUAACCCGUGAAAAAGUGAUCAAUUGGGGCCGUUCUAAAUUUAAAAUAUCAAGUAAGUAAUCGAAAGAUGAUACGUUUUCUUUAUUAGCAAAAGUGAUAAAAAUAAUGGAAACCUACGAUUACAUAAUUUCUAUGAGAUGAAACAAUAAUCGAAGUACUUACCUCGUAGAAUUCUAUUCAGCACGGUGCCAUUCAUGUCUUUUGACCACAAACACCUCGCACAAAUUUUGUGUUUGGAAAACGAAGAACUGAUGAUGAAUUUAGUCCGGCGGUGAAACUAGACCGGAAUCAAUAAUGGUAGACUGCGUGACGAAUUCAUGUCGUGACGUCACUUUCAUUACAAUUUUCAGCACCUGAUUGUCAUUUUUAGUUAAUUGGAAUCAAUUCUAAAAUUAAUUCGUUUGAAGUUUUCGGCAAACCGGGGUAUUUUGGAUUAUUUCACCACCGAAACGGAACGCGGGUGGGGAUACCGUUUAUAAUGCUUGCUAGUGGCCUAUCGCGUACGUAGGUCCCAUGGUGUAAUGGUUAUCAUUCUGGACUCUGAAUCCAGCGAUCCGAGUUCGAAUCUCGGUGGGACCUGUAAUUUUUUUUACUGAAAUAUAAUUUUUUUAGACUCUAAGGUCCCGAAUACGUCGUGUAAAUGAGGUUUUUGAUUUUUUACAAAACAAUUUCGUAAUAUCUUCGGUUGUUCUAUUUCGCCAUCAUCAGAAUUCAUGUUUUUAUUGCGUGAUAUUCUAUACCUACCUAAUGGUUUGUCAAUAUGUUAACGAUGAAAUUUAUUAAAAUUUAAUUAGUUUUGA
Molecule: long non-coding RNA, 922 nt
Organism: Planococcus citri (citrus mealybug)
Lineage: Eukaryota; Metazoa; Arthropoda; Insecta; Hemiptera; Pseudococcidae
Exons: 2
Source: RefSeq, a predicted model, not a curated record